This 252-nucleotide ribosomal RNA is filed under the name uncultured bacterium. RNAcentral describes it as "partial 16S ribosomal RNA". It matches the Rfam family "Bacterial small subunit ribosomal RNA", at positions 524 to 776 of the family's 1533-position model. The record is from RNAcentral.
UACGUAGGUGGCGAGCGUUAUCCGGAAUGAUUGGGCGUAAAGGGUGCGUAGGCGGGCUUUUAAGUCAGCGGUAAAAAUUCGGGGCUCAACCCCGUCCGGCCGUUGAAACUGGGGGCCUUGAGUGGGCGAGAAGAAGGCGGAAUGCGUGGUGUAGCGGUGAAAUGCAUAGAUAUCACGCAGAACCCCGAUUGCGAAGGCAGCCUUCCGGCGCCCUACUGACGCUGAGGCACGAAAGUGCGGGGAUCGAACAGG